AAAAGACUUAGUCCUAACCUUACAGUUCGUUCUUGCUAGAUAUAUACAUGCAAGCAUCCGCACUCCAGUGCAAAUGCCCAAAACCCUCACCCGAGACAAAAGGAGCAGGUAUCAGGCCCACCCUUCGUAGCCCAAGACACCUUGCUAUAGCCACACCCCCACGGGUACUCAGCAGUAAUAGACCUUAAGCAAUAAGUGCAAACUUGACUUAGCCAUAGCAACCAUAGGGCUGGUUAACCUUGUGCCAGCCACCGCGGCCAUACAAGAAGCCCAAACUAACUGACACACGGCGUAAAGAGUGGUACAACACUAUCCAUCCAACUAGGACCAAAAUGUAGUCGAGCUGUCAUAAGCCCAGACCACACACAAGCCCCCCCUCAAAACGAUCCUAGCAACCUGGACUGACCAACCCCACGAAAGCCAGGGCACAAACUGGGAUUAGAUACCCCACUAUGCCUGGCCCUAAAUCCAGAUGCCACACCCCACUAAGCAUCCGCCCGAGAACUACGAGCACAAACGCUUAAAACUCUAAGGACUUGGCGGUGCCCCACACCUACCUAGAGGAGCCUGUCCUAUAAUCGAUACCCCACGAUACACCCGACCGCUCCUUGCCACAGCAGCCUACAUACCGCCGUCGCCAGCUCACCUCCCUGAGAGAACAACAAUGAGCACAACAGCCAACAACCACUAACAAGACAGGUCAAGGUAUAGCCAAUGGAGCGGAAGAGAUGGGCUACAUUUCCUAACUCAGGAAACCACGAAAGGGAUCAUGAAAACCAACCCCCGAAGGAGGAUUUAGCAGUAAAGUGGGACAACUAAGCCCCCUUUAAACCAGCCCUGGGGCACGUACAUACCGCCCGUCACCCUCCUCACAAGCUACCCGCCCCACACAUACCUAAUGCAACAACCAGCUAACAGACGAGGUAAGUCGUAACAAGGUAAGUGUACCGGAAGGUGCACUUAGCAUACA
This 970-nucleotide non-coding RNA is filed under the name Bucco capensis (collared puffbird). RNAcentral's name for it is "12S ribosomal RNA". It matches the Rfam family "Bacterial small subunit ribosomal RNA". Lineage: Eukaryota; Metazoa; Chordata; Aves; Piciformes; Bucconidae. The record is from RNAcentral.